UGCAAUCAACAAGUAUCAUUUCUUAGAAGAAGCAAAUGGAGUAUAAGUAAGCAUAAGUAUACAUGAUCUUCUCUGGUAUAUGUCUAAUCUCUUGACUAGUGUUCUUAUGAAUUUCAAGGCUUUUUCUGCUAGUUUAAAAUACCUUGUCGUAGCACUGGAACUCUCCAAUUCCGGGGAAUCUCCAGGUCCCGUUGCUCUCAGGGUAUGAUGGGUAUCUCAAUUCUCCACAAGGUCCCAUUCCUACUUGAAUUUCCUGCAAUACAUAAAAUGAUGAUCCAAUUAGCUUAGGUCCCUGUAUUGCUCAUGUCUGAAGUUAAUUCGUUUCCUUUGUAGUCUAAAUUUCUGCUUACCGCAAUAACUCCUCCUAUGUAGCCUUCAAAUCGUUCACGGAAGCUCCUCAUGAAAUCUGAGUAGACCUGGAUAGGUGUUCUUCCUCUUAGGACAGGCACAGAAUCACAUCCCAAGGAGAUAUAUUCAGGGUUCCUUCUCCCAGAUUUGUCUGUGUAGACAAGAUCAGGGUUCUU
RNAcentral lists this long non-coding RNA (524 nucleotides) under Arabidopsis thaliana (thale cress). Its description in RNAcentral is "long non-coding RNA (ATHA_LNC000272)". Lineage: Eukaryota; Viridiplantae; Streptophyta; Magnoliopsida; Brassicales; Brassicaceae. The record is from RNAcentral.